Molecule: unclassified non-coding RNA, 241 nt
Filed under: uncultured Ascomycota
Lineage: Eukaryota; Fungi; Ascomycota
Description: sequence contains ITS2
Source: RNAcentral
AACGCACAUUGCGCCCCCUGGUAUUCCGGGGGGCAUGCCUAUUCGAGCGUCAUUAUCACCCCUCAAGCCUAGCUUGGUGUUGGGACCUGCUGUUAAGGCAGUCCCUAAAAUCAGUGGCAGUGCUGUCAGGCUCUAAGCGUAGUAAAAUAAAUCGCGAUAGGGUCCUGGUGGAUACUCGUCAGAACCCCCCCAUUUUUUAAUGAUUGACCUCGGAUUAGGUAGGGAUACCCGCUGAACUUAA